Molecule: transfer RNA, 88 nt
Filed under: Bacteroidales bacterium
Lineage: Bacteria; Pseudomonadati; Bacteroidota; Bacteroidia; Bacteroidales
Description: tRNA-Ser
Rfam family: tRNA
About the family: Transfer RNA (tRNA) molecules are approximately 80 nucleotides in length. Their secondary structure includes four short double-helical elements and three loops (D, anti-codon, and T loops).
Source: RNAcentral
GGAAAGAUGGCCGAGUGGUCGAAGGCGCACGCCUGGAAAGCGUGUGUACCCCAAAAGGGUAUCAAGGGUUCGAAUCCCUUUCUUUCCG